UGUGUGUGUGUGUGUGCAUUUGUGUGUUCUCUCUAACUGUCUAAACUCUAUCUGAACACAGGUUAACAACGCAACAGCAAGAGUUAUGACAAACAAAAAGGUGGCAAACCCAUACACGAAUGGCUGGAAGCUGAACCCAAUGGUGGGAGCUGUCUAUGGUCCUGAAUUAUAUGCAGUGACAGGUUUUCCCUACCCUAGUACAGGAGCGGCAGUAGCCUAUCGGGGAGCUCAUUUGAGAGGGAGGGGGCGGGCCGUCUAUAACACAUUCCGUGCCGCGCCCCCACCCCCACCCAUGCCUGCCUACGGAGCGUGA
Molecule: long non-coding RNA, 313 nt
Organism: Oncorhynchus kisutch (coho salmon)
Lineage: Eukaryota; Metazoa; Chordata; Actinopteri; Salmoniformes; Salmonidae
Exons: 3
Source: RefSeq, a predicted model, not a curated record